AGUGAACGCUGGCGGUAGGCCUAACACAUGCAAGUCGAACGGCAGCACAGUAAGAGCUUGCUCUUACGGGUGGCGAGUGGCGGACGGGUGAGGAAUACAUCGGAAUCUACUUUUUCGUGGGGGAGAACGUAGGGAAACUUACGCUAAUACCGCAUACGACCUACGGGUGAAAGCAGGGGAUCUUCGGACCUUGCGCGAUUGAAUGAGCCGAUGUCGGAUUAGCGAGUUGGCGGGGUAAAGGCCCACCAAGGCGACGAUCCGUAGCUGGUCUGAGAGGAUGAUCCGCCACACUGGAACUGAGACACGGUCCAGACUCCUACGGGAGGCAGCAGUGGGGAAUAUUGGACAAUGGGCGCAAGCCUGAUCCAGCCAUACCGCGUGGGUGAAGAAGGCCUUCGGGUUGUAAAGCCCUUUUGUUGGGAAAGAAAAGCAGCAGGUUAAUACCCCGCUGUUCUGACGGUACCCAAAGAAUAAGCACCGGCUAACUUCGUG
This 492-nucleotide ribosomal RNA is filed under the name uncultured bacterium. RNAcentral describes it as "partial 16S ribosomal RNA". It matches the Rfam family "Bacterial small subunit ribosomal RNA", at positions 29 to 507 of the family's 1533-position model. The record is from RNAcentral.